CUUGGAUAAACUUCUUUGAUCAUUU
This 25-nucleotide microRNA is filed under the name Ananas comosus (pineapple). Its description in RNAcentral is "microRNA s0751_c96a". Lineage: Eukaryota; Viridiplantae; Streptophyta; Magnoliopsida; Poales; Bromeliaceae. The record is from RNAcentral.